ACAGACAUUCAUCCUGGCCCCUAUGCAGAACAAGGUUCCCGACCCCUGGUGUAAAACAAGAUCUUGGCAUGUAAACAAUUAACUUUCAGGGAUAGUGUGCCAUCUCGAUGGGAAAACUCUUCAGCACCUGAUGAGCGGAGGGGGACUCUGAAUGACACACUGCACUGAAUCACAAACGAUGACAAGAAAGAUUACAGGAAGGAGAUAGACAACUUCAUGACAUGGUGUCAGGAAUAACCUCUCGCCUAAUGUCAGCAAGAUGAAGGAUUUGGUUAUCGA
Molecule: long non-coding RNA, 279 nt
Organism: Leucoraja erinaceus (little skate)
Lineage: Eukaryota; Metazoa; Chordata; Chondrichthyes; Rajiformes; Rajidae
Exons: 3
Source: RefSeq, a predicted model, not a curated record